This 253-nucleotide ribosomal RNA is filed under the name uncultured bacterium. RNAcentral's name for it is "partial 16S ribosomal RNA". It matches the Rfam family "Bacterial small subunit ribosomal RNA", at positions 524 to 776 of the family's 1533-position model. The record is from RNAcentral.
UACGAAGGGGGCUAGCGUUGUUCGGAAUUACUGGGCGUAAAGCGCACGUAGGCGGCUUUGUAAGUUAGAGGUGAAAGCCCGGGGCUCAACUCCGGAACUGCCUCUAAGACUGCAUCGCUUGAAUCAUGGAGAGGUCAGUGGAAUUCCGAGUGUAGAGGUGAAAUUCGUAGAUAUUCGGAAGAACACCAGUGGCGAAGGCGGCUGACUGGACAUGUAUUGACGCUGAGGUGCGAAAGCGUGGGGAGCAAACAGG